CUGGAUGGACCGGUACUGAGUGUACAACUCCCGUCUGCGAGCCACCGUGCAGGAAUGGAGGCACGUGCUCGGCGCCCCAGACAUGUACGUGUCCACCGGGCAAGGGAGGCCGGCUCUGCGACCACAACACCACCGCGAACCACUUGGCCGUCGAGAAGCGACUUCCGUUUCAGACGUGCAUCAGCGCCGGAAACUACUACCGGACUUUCGACAACCUGGAGUUCUACUUCAAGGGCACAUGCGCGUACACGUUGGUCAAAACCGGACACUUGUCACUCACCGUGGAGCAUUUUAACUGCGA
This is a long non-coding RNA of Dreissena polymorpha, 301 nucleotides long. RefSeq lists it as uncharacterized. The transcript has 3 exons. NCBI's taxonomy places the organism in Eukaryota, Metazoa, Mollusca, Bivalvia, Myida, Dreissenidae. The record is from RefSeq and is a predicted model, not a curated record.